UCUUACGGUGGGACCACAACACCAAGCCUUCGUCGCUUCAUGAGCAUUGCCACCGUUGCCUGUGCAGCACUGCUCCUGCUCCCGAUUCCGCAAUUCCGCAUUCGACCACAAGUCACCAACCAUUUCAGAUGUGCUUUGGAAAUAAAUUUUGACAUAAUAAAUAAAUUUAAAAAAAAAUAUCGCCAUUUUGAAUUGAUAGCACGAUCUGUUGGUCGGGAAUUUGUACAACAGUACUAUACAUUGUUGAAUCAAGCACCAGCUCAAUAAAACAGAACACUAAUGGAGAAUUUCAAAAUGGCGGUGCGUCGUCAACCUGUUCGUCAAUUUACUCAGAAGAAUAAGAAGAAGAAAAAAAAAAAAUUUUGUUUGGUAUUCUAUCCUGUAAAGGCGAAGCUGGAUUAUCCCGCGUUCCGGACUCUGAACUGUGAAUCAAAAGAAAAAAAAAAUUUUUUUCUUUGGUAUUCUCAGUAGAGUUUACCUACAGUUUCAACCCAUGUAACACAAAUAUUACUACGGGUAUCAGUCGAAGGCAUUAGUCAUCACACAAAAUGUUCUAACCCCCUAGACUGAUAUACUCAAACCGUAGUAAUAUUUUUGGGUUGGAUUAUAAUAUAGGUCCAGCAAUGUCCUAGAGAUGAAUUGCUGGACACGGAAGUGGGGUCACACCUGCGUAGCCAAACUGUCAAACAGUCCUCAGUAGAGACGCUGUUUUUCAGUGUCGCGACCUACGGAUUAACCUCCCUUUUAAUUAAUUACCCCAUAUACAUGGUACGCCAGUGGCACUCGAUCUAACACCCGGAGGACUAUCUCCCUAUUUAUGGCUAGUGAAUGCAGCCAUUUUCGCUACAAUGUACAAUCAAGUAGUCUCUCUAGACACGACACUCUAAUACUAUAGAAAUUUAGCUAUUAUAGGUAGAUUAGUUCCAUUAAGUGUCAUAAACAUUAUAGUUAAUGGAACCAUUCUAUAGCAAAGAAGUAAUGAGACUUUAUAUAUAUUUUAUAAAUAAUACUGUAAUAUAAAUAUAUUUAACAAGCAAAAUAUCAAUAUUGAUUUAUAUAAAAAAUUUUCAGCAUAAUAAAAUAAUUUUAAAUCUUGAAGUAUAUCUUCGUUGAAAUAUUAAAACAUAAAUUAUUUUUCAUAAAGUAUAGCGAGACUUUUUUUGCUCACUUUGGAUUAAAUCUCCUUUGGUUUUCUGGAUUUACACAAAAACCUUAUUUAUCACUUUUUGAUAUAAACGUUUUCAACGUCAGUAACUCUUAUUUUUAGCUAACGUCGUAGAACUUGAGUAUAUAGAGACACUCUCCAAACUGCGGCUUACUUUUCCUUGUAAUAUUGUUUUUUUUUCUUUUACUGGCAUUUGUCCAAAUAGCCGUAAUAUAUAUGUUGGCCAACAAUAAUUACUGGAAAAAAAAAAAAUAUAUUUCAAUGAUGAUUGUUUUAUUUUGUUCUGAGUAAAUGUUAUGAAUUUAAAUAUUAGUUUCAUUCAUCAUAAUUAAAAUAUUAAUUUAUCAGGCAAUUUUAAUAUUGAAAAUAUAUUUUGAAAUUACAUAAAUACACAUAUAUACUUAUUUGAUAAACAAAUUUUUUUUUAAUGUACAAAUAAAUUUCUGAUAAUAAAAAAUAACUAAAAAAAAGAGGAAACAGGUUGACCCUGCGGGCAAGCCCUAAAACUUCCCGCUAUUUUUGAGCUCUUGAGAUCAAUAACAUUAUUGCGAAUGCAUUUUCGAACUUGUCAAAUUUAAAAACACUCUUCAAGCUCAAAAAAUUUAUGUAUUUCUUUGAACUACGAAAAUUAAAAAAAAUCUCAAAUAAUUGAUAACAUGAAACUUUCAAUUUUUAUGUACGAUUAUUCUUGAGAAAAUGCAUAGAUUUUGGCAUAACUAAAAUUAAGUAAUCCUGAUAAAGAGUGAAAGGAAUUAUGAAUUAGAUCAUAACCUGAAAACAUGAAAUAUUCGAAAACAGUUUAGAGAACAGUAAUUUCUUUUAAGUUUUGUUGACGAUAGAUUUUCAACUAAAUAACAAACCGAUCACAACAAAUAAUCCAGUAAUGAAAUGAGACUGUAAAAGUAAGGACAUGGUAUAAUUAAUCAAACAUUUAGUAUAUCAUAUUAUGAGGUAUCAAAGAAAAUUGUUAUUUUUAAAAUUUUUCGGUAUCGAUAUCUUAACGAAUAAACCGAUUUUGAUGUUCGAAAUAGCUCUUGACAAGUUUGAUUGAGUUCUACAGCUGAUAUAUUUUUGAAAUUGAUAGGUUUAGUCGUCUUGAUAUUCGAAAGAACUCGUUUUUUAACAUUUGUUUCGCCAACGAUAUUUUUCAAACGAAUCAACCGAUUGAGAUGGUUGUUGCAGCAAUCGACGCGUUUUAUCAAGUUCUAGAACUGAUUAGAUCCUAAAAUCGAUAAAUUUAAUAAGUGGGAUGUAUUUAUCAUUGUCAUUGGCAAUUUAUUUGAAUAAAUAGAGUAUAAUUUAUUUUACAAAAAUAACAUGCUUUUAUUUUGUUGUUAUACUUAGUAAUUGCAUGUAUGUUGACCCAGGUCAAAAAAAAAUCUUAAAUUUGACUUGAUUUAACUUAAUUUUCUUUGAAGUCGUCGAUUUGCCGACAACUGUAUUCCACAUUUUAACUUUUUUUAACUUUU
Microplitis mediator is the source of this 2634-nucleotide long non-coding RNA. RefSeq lists it as uncharacterized. The record is from RefSeq and is a predicted model, not a curated record. NCBI's taxonomy places the organism in Eukaryota, Metazoa, Arthropoda, Insecta, Hymenoptera, Braconidae. The transcript is spliced from 3 exons.